AAACCAGGAUUAGAUACCCUAUUAUAAAAAUGUAAAUAUUAAAAUACUUAAAAAUUAUUAGUUAUGGUCUUUAAAUUUAAAAAAUUUGGCGGUAUUUUAGUCUUAUUAGAGGAACCUGUUAUGUAAUUGAUAAUCCACGAUUUAUUUUACUUAUUUUAUUAAUUUAUAUAUCGCUGUCAUGAAUAUAUUUAAAAAUUAAUUUUCUUUUAUUAAUAUUAUAAUUUAUGUUAAGUCAAGAUGUAGUUUAUAAAUGAGUUAUAAAUGGGUUACAUUAAAUUUAAUUUAUGGAUUUGAAAUGAAAAAUUAAAAGGAAAUUGAAUUUAAUAGUAAAUUUAUUUAUUAAA
This 344-nucleotide ribosomal RNA is filed under the name Cinara tujafilina (cypress pine aphid). RNAcentral's name for it is "partial 12S ribosomal RNA". Lineage: Eukaryota; Metazoa; Arthropoda; Insecta; Hemiptera; Aphididae. The record is from RNAcentral.